RNAcentral lists this ribosomal RNA (471 nucleotides) under uncultured Bacillota bacterium. RNAcentral describes it as "bacterial SSU rRNA". It matches the Rfam family "Bacterial small subunit ribosomal RNA", at positions 355 to 820 of the family's 1533-position model. The record is from RNAcentral. Lineage: Bacteria; Bacillati; Bacillota.
UAGGGAAUCUUCCGCAAUGGGCGAAAGCCUGACGGAGCAAUGCCGCGUGAGUGAGGAAGGUUUUCGGAUCGUAAAGCUCUGUUGCCAGGGAAGAACGCUUGGGAGAGUAACUGCUCUCAAGGUGACGGUACCUGAGAAGAGAGCCCCGGCUAACUACGUGCCAGCAGCCGCGGUAAUACGUAGGGGGCAAGCGUUGUCCGGAAUUAUUGGGCGUAAAGCGCGCGCAGGCGGUCAUUUAAGUCUGGUGUUUAAUCCCGGGGCUCAACCCCGGAUCGCACUGGAAACUGGGUGACUUGAGUGCAGAAGAGGAGAGUGGAAUUCCACGUGUAGCGGUGAAAUGCGUAGAUAUGUGGAGGAACACCAGUGGCGAAGGCGACUCUCUGGGCUGUAACUGACGCUGAGGCGCGAAAGCGUGGGGAGCAAACAGGAUUAGAUACCCUGGUGGUCCAGCCGUAAACGAUGAGUGCUAGG